This is a long non-coding RNA of Tupaia belangeri chinensis (Chinese tree shrew), 1141 nucleotides long. RefSeq lists it as uncharacterized. NCBI's taxonomy places the organism in Eukaryota, Metazoa, Chordata, Mammalia, Scandentia, Tupaiidae. The record is from RefSeq and is a predicted model, not a curated record. The transcript has 7 exons.
GAGAUAAGGGAGUCUGGUGAAGCAAGUGCUGGCUCUCAAAGCUUCUGACCAGAAGUAUUGUCAACUGAUUAGAAGCUCCUACUCCAUUGGUCAAAGAAAGACACAUGACCACAGGAAAGGAAUCUUUGAUAGCUGACCAUAUUAAUGAAAAUAUCCCGACAGGCUCUUUGAUGUGGCUGUGAAGGGACCAAGAAAAAAUUUAAAAGCUGGUGAGUGCUGAAGGAUGACUAGGAAAUCUCUGGAGAAAAGAGCUGAGAAAAUAAACUGCAGUUGAAGAUAAAUAGUGCUCCACUUACGAUUAGAUUUCCUUCACCAGAUUACACACAGUUGGUUUGGUGUUCCCUAAAUAAAGAUGAAACGCAUCGCCAGUGUGCAAGUCUCUGCCUGGAGGUUAGAAGUCACAGUUUCUAGGAAAAUUCCACUGAUUCCCCAAGUCUGCAUUAGCGGCCUAUUUGAUGCUAUCUGAAGACAUCCUGUGUGUGUUAUUGCAUAACGCUUACUUUACCCUGUGGUUAUUGACUGGCAAUUGCUGUGUCUUUCUUCUAAACCCCAAGAGGCCAGAAACCAUGACUGAUUAAUUCACUGUUCUAUAUAGAGUUUAGCCUGGUGCCUGGCACAAAAUGUGUGUUUAAUAAGUUUGUUAAAUCAAAUUAAUUCAUUGGAGGUGUUAAAAACUUUAAAGACAUCAUCUUAGCCUUUAAUAACAGAGUACUAAACAAAAAGAUGCCAAUAAUACUUUAGUAAUUGUAGGAGCUAUAUAUCCCAGUGUGCUUGUAAGAUGGAAUAAAUAGGCCGAGCUCCAGAGAAGGGGACUGACUUGUCCACAGCUACGCAGCCACUGAGCAGGUCCCAAGGAGUCAGUCUGUUUCUUCAGCUCUCACUAUCUACUCUAUGCAUUGGGAUUCUUCUCAAGUCUUGACUUCAAAAUAGAAGAUACUCUACAACUCUUUUUAUUUUUCUACAGCUUCCUUAGCAGCUAAGAGUCUCAAAAACAAAAAAACCCAAACUAAACAAAACAGCAGUCUCCAACAUUUUCCAUUGUCUCCUCUACCGCCUGGAGUCAUGCUUCAACACUCCUCUUCCCAGAUACUCAGACUUCAUGAAUCUGUGUUAAUACAUUUAAUUAAAAUAUCAUAAUUUC